GAUGAACGCUGGCGGCGUGCCUAGUACAUGCAAGUCGAGCGAACAGACGAGGAGCUUGCUCCUCUGACGUUAGCGGCGGACGGGUGAGUAACACGUGGAUAACCUACCUAUAAGACUGGGAUAACUUCGGGAAACCGGAGCUAAUACCGGAUAAUAUAUUGAACCGCAUGGUUCAAUAGUGAAAGACGGUUUUGCUGUCACUUAUAGAUGGAUCCGCGCCGCAUUAGCUGGUUGGUAAGGUAACGGCUUACCAAGGCGACGAUGCGUAGCCGACCUGAGAGGGUGAUCGGCCACACUGGAACUGAGACACGGUCCAGACUCCUACGGGAGGCAGCAGUAGGGAAUCUUCCGCAAUGGGCGAAAGCCUGACGGAGCAACGCCGCGUGAGUGAUGAAGGUCUUCGGAUCGUAAAACUCUGUUAUUAGGGAAGAACAAAUGUGUAAGUAACUAUGCACGUCUUGACGGUACCUAAUCAGAAAGCCACGGCUAACUACGUG
RNAcentral lists this ribosomal RNA (497 nucleotides) under uncultured bacterium. RNAcentral's name for it is "partial 16S ribosomal RNA". It matches the Rfam family "Bacterial small subunit ribosomal RNA", at positions 28 to 507 of the family's 1533-position model. The record is from RNAcentral.